UACGUAGGGCGCAAGCGUUGUCCGGAAUUAUUGGGCGUAAAGAGCUCGUAGGCGGCCUGUUGCGUCCGCUGUGAAAUCCCGGGGCUUAACCCCGGGCUUGCAGUGGAUACGGGCAGGCUGGAGGCAGGCAGGGGAGAACGGAAUUCCCGGUGUAGCGGUGAAAUGCGCAGAUAUCGGGAGGAACACCGGUGGCGAAGGCGGUUCUCUGGGCCGAUACUGACGCUGAGGAGCGAAAGCGUGGGGAGCGAACAGG
This 253-nucleotide ribosomal RNA is filed under the name uncultured bacterium. Its description in RNAcentral is "partial 16S ribosomal RNA". It matches the Rfam family "Bacterial small subunit ribosomal RNA", at positions 524 to 776 of the family's 1533-position model. The record is from RNAcentral.